Molecule: ribosomal RNA, 126 nt
Filed under: uncultured bacterium
Lineage: Bacteria
Description: partial 16S ribosomal RNA
Rfam family: Bacterial small subunit ribosomal RNA
Source: RNAcentral
ACGACGCCGCGUGAGGGAUGAAGGCCUUCGGGUUGUAAACCUCUUUUGCAGGGGAAGAAAGGCGCAAGCUUGAUGGUACUCUGCGAAUAAGCCACGGCUAACUACGUGCCAGCAGCCGCGGUAAUA